RNAcentral lists this long non-coding RNA (1038 nucleotides) under Crocodylus porosus (Australian saltwater crocodile). RNAcentral's name for it is "lncRNA (ENSCPRG00005006684.1)". Lineage: Eukaryota; Metazoa; Chordata; Crocodylia; Crocodylidae. The record is from RNAcentral.
CUCAAAUGAGACUGGCGGUUGGCCUGAACAGGAGGGGAAGGUGGGUGUCAGAGAGACCUCUGGAUAAGGAAACUGUAGAGAUGAAGCUAGAGAGAAAUCUAGCACUGCUCAGAGACAGUGAUAGUUUUCAUUGGAGGAACAAAAAGAAAUUGUCACUCCGGCUUUGGAAGCCUCUUCCACAUCUCUCCAGCGAACCUGAGAAGCCUGGCUAAUCAUUUCUGUAUGUAUCUAUAAAAAAAGAGAGCCCUUUUCAACUGGGUUUCACCAAGCCUUGCCUGCAAAAUCUAUAACAGUAUAUUCUGGUGGUCACUGGCAGCAGUUAAUAAAAUAAUGUUUUGAGUGGAGAAGUGGAGCUUUGGCAGUUUUCAGAGUCAUUUGAGACCUCCCUUUCUCCUAUCGUCUGCAUGAAGAAGAGGGUGGAGUUUCCCCACAUAAUCACAAGCAUCCAGCAGGUGGCACUUCAAGAGAAAACGGCCCAUGGUGUGAGAUCUGGCAGCAUUUGGAAAGGAGCCUACAUCUGGCUUUUUCCAAGGAACUACAGAAAGCAUUUAUGGGCUGGGCAGAUGUAUGAGAAGUGCAAUCUGUGGAUACUUUUGUGGUGAUGAUCCGUUGGGCCCUUCGGCAUGACGUGACUGCGCCGUGCGAGGCAAGGAGCUGCACAGACACCUGAGAAGGCCUCGCCCCAGGCGGCAGGGAGGACUCAGCAGUAGCAUGCCUUCCCUCUGGAUUUCAUGCAUGUUUGUUCAUCUCAAGUCCCUUCAAAUACAUUUAGACUGCGAGCUCUUCCAGCCAAAGCCUGGUCUUUAUUUUUGUGCGCUGCGCAGCACAUGGCUGGCCCUGAACACAUCCUACAGCAUGAAAUCACAUGAUGCAGUUCAGGACAGUGUGUCAGCUGGUAGACGCAACCACGCCAGCAUCUUUGCACAGUCUCCAAACAUAAUUCACUUACUGGGAACAGAGAUGGAAGUCCUGAUACCGAUCGGCUGUGAUUGCAGAAGGCAUGUGCCCCGGGAAGCCAGCCUGAGGAGCAGACUUUAG